RNAcentral lists this microRNA (22 nucleotides) under Oreochromis niloticus (Nile tilapia). RNAcentral describes it as "oni-miR-10735". The record is from miRBase by way of RNAcentral. Lineage: Eukaryota; Metazoa; Chordata; Actinopteri; Cichliformes; Cichlidae.
UGUAGAGACACAUCAUUAUAUC